Molecule: transfer RNA, 66 nt
Filed under: Tupaia tana (large tree shrew)
Lineage: Eukaryota; Metazoa; Chordata; Mammalia; Scandentia; Tupaiidae
Description: tRNA-Arg
Rfam family: tRNA
About the family: Transfer RNA (tRNA) molecules are approximately 80 nucleotides in length. Their secondary structure includes four short double-helical elements and three loops (D, anti-codon, and T loops).
Source: RNAcentral
UAGUGAUUAGUUUAAUAAAAACAAAUGAUUUNGACUCAUUAGACUAUGGAUUACCAUAAUCACUAA